AUUGAACGCUGGCGGCAUGCCUUACACAUGCAAGUCGAACGGCAGCACAGCAGUAGCAAUACUGUGGGUGGCGAGUGGCGGACGGGUGAGGAAUACGUCGGAAUCUGCCCAGUCGUGGGGGAUAACUAGCCGAAAGGUUAGCUAAUACCGCAUACGACCGAGAGGUGAAAGCGGGGGACCGCAAGGCCUCGCGCGAUUGGAUGAGCCGACGUCGGAUUAGCUAGUUGGUGGGUAAAGGCCUACCAAGGCGACGAUCCGUAGUGGGUCUGAGAGGAUGAUCCGCCACACUGGGACUGAGACACGGCCCAGACUCCUACGGGAGGCAGCAGUGGGGAAUUUUGGACAAUGGGCGCAAGCCUGAUCCAGCCAUGCCGCGUGAGUGAAGAAGGCCU
This 392-nucleotide ribosomal RNA is filed under the name uncultured bacterium. RNAcentral describes it as "bacterial SSU rRNA". It matches the Rfam family "Bacterial small subunit ribosomal RNA", at positions 29 to 417 of the family's 1533-position model. The record is from RNAcentral.